This is a non-coding RNA of Meleagris gallopavo (turkey), 803 nucleotides long. The record is from RefSeq and is a predicted model, not a curated record. Lineage: Eukaryota; Metazoa; Chordata; Aves; Galliformes; Phasianidae.
AAUAAGGAAAAUAAGGGAAAUCAGGGAAAUAAAUAAGGAAAAUAUGGAAAAUAAGGAAAGUGAGGAAAGUGAGGAGGUUGGGUGGAGAUGUGGGGUUAAUUAACAGAGCGAACGGCCUAAUUAGAGGAGUAAGAGAGAGCAGAGCUGGUGGCCGAGAGGAAACGUGUUGGCCUAAUGAAGUUAUGGGCCUAAUUACAAAGAUAUCGAACAGCUGAUGAAGUUAUGGGCCUAAUUACAAAGAUAUUGGCCUAAUGAAGAUAUUGGCCUAAUUAUGAAGAUAUCGGCCAGCUGAUGAAGAUAUUGGCCUAAUUAGAAGAUAUCGGCCAGCUGAUGAAGAUAUUGGCCUAAUUACAAAGGUAUUGGCCAGCUGAUGAAGAUAUUGGCCUAAUUACAAAGGUAUCUUCCAGCAGAUGAAGAUAUUGGCUUAAUUACAAAGAUGUUGGCCAGCUGAUGAAGAUAUUGGCCUAAUUACGAAGAUAAUGGCCAGCUGAUGAAGAUAUUGGCCUAAUUACAAAGAUAUUGGCCUAAUUACAAAGAUAUUGGCCAAAUGAAGUUAUGGGCCUAAUUACAAAGAUAUCGGCCAGCUGAUGAAGUUAUGGGCCUAAUUACGAAGAUAUCGGCCAGCUGAUGAAGUCAUUGGCCUAAUUACGAAGAUAUCGGCCAGCUGAUGAAGAAUUGGCCUAAUUACAAAGAUAUUGGCCUAAUUACAAAGAUAUCUUCCAGCUGAUGUAGAUAUUGGCCUAAUUACAAAGAUAUCGGCCAGCUGAUGAAGAUAUUGGCUUAAUUACAAAGAUAUUGGCCAG